GAUGAACGCUGACAGAAUGCUUAACACAUGCAAGUCAACUUGAAUUUGGGUUUUAACUUAGAUUUGGGUGGCGGACGGGUGAGUAACGCGUAAAGAACUUGCCUCACAGGUAGGGACAACAUUUGGAAACGAAUGCUAAUACCUAAUAUUAUGAUAAUAGGGCAUCCUAAUAUUAUGAAAGCUAAAUGCGCUGUGAGAGAGCUUUGCGUCCCAUUAGCUAGUUGGAGAGGUAACGGCUCACCAAGGCGAUGAUGGGUAGCCGGCCUGAGAGGGUGAUCGGCCACAAGGGGACUGAGACACGGCCCUUACUCCUACGGGAGGCAGCAGUGGGGAAUAUUGGACAAUGGACCAAGAGUCUGAUCCAGCAAUUCUGUGUGCACGAUGAAGUUUUUCGGAAUGUAAAGUGCUUUCAGUUGGGAAGAAACAAAUGACGGUACCAACAGAAGAA
This 448-nucleotide ribosomal RNA is filed under the name Fusobacterium naviforme. RNAcentral describes it as "bacterial SSU rRNA". It matches the Rfam family "Bacterial small subunit ribosomal RNA", at positions 28 to 489 of the family's 1533-position model. The record is from RNAcentral. Lineage: Bacteria; Fusobacteriati; Fusobacteriota; Fusobacteriia; Fusobacteriales; Fusobacteriaceae.